UACGGAGGGGGCCAGCGUUGUUCGGAAUUAUUGGGCGUAAAGGGCGCGUAGGCGGUUGUGUAAGUCGGUUGUGAAAUCCCCUGGCUCACCCAGGGAACUGCUUCCGAUACUGCAUGACUUGAGUCCGGGAGAGGAGAGUGGAAUUCCCAGUGUAGCGGUGGAAUGCGUAGAUAUUGGGAGGAACACCGGUGGCGAAGGCGGCUCUCUGGACCGGUACUGACGCUGAGGCGCGAAAGCCAGGGGAGCAAACAGG
RNAcentral lists this ribosomal RNA (253 nucleotides) under uncultured bacterium. RNAcentral describes it as "partial 16S ribosomal RNA". It matches the Rfam family "Bacterial small subunit ribosomal RNA", at positions 524 to 776 of the family's 1533-position model. The record is from RNAcentral.